ACGGGGGGGGCAAGCGUUAUUCGGAAUUACUGGGCGUAAAGCGCACGUAGGCGGCUUUGUAAGUUAGAGGUGAAAGCCUGGAGCUCAACUCCAGAAUUGCCUUUAAGACUGCAUCGCUUGAAUCCAGGAGAGGUGAGUGGAAUUCCGAGUGUAGAGGUGAAAUUCGUAGAUAUUCGGAAGAACACCAGUGGCGAAGGCGGCUCACUGGACUGGUAUUGACGCUGAGGUGCGAAAGCGUGGGGAGCAAACAGGA
This 253-nucleotide ribosomal RNA is filed under the name uncultured prokaryote. Its description in RNAcentral is "partial 16S ribosomal RNA". It matches the Rfam family "Bacterial small subunit ribosomal RNA", at positions 525 to 777 of the family's 1533-position model. The record is from RNAcentral.